UACGAACUGUGCAAACGUUAUUCGGAAUCACUGGGCUUAAAGCGCGCGCAGGCGGCUUGGCGCGCCCGACGUGAAAGCCCCCGGCUUAACCGGGGAGAGUCGUCGGGUACGGCCAGGCUUGAGGGCGGGAGAGGGUGGUGGAAUUCCCGGUGUAGUGGUGAAAUGCGUAGAGAUCGGGAGGAACACCUGUGGCGAAGGCGGCCACCUGGGCCGACCCUGACGCUGAGGCGCGAAGGCGUGGGGAGCGAACGGG
Molecule: ribosomal RNA, 253 nt
Filed under: uncultured bacterium
Lineage: Bacteria
Description: partial 16S ribosomal RNA
Rfam family: Bacterial small subunit ribosomal RNA
Source: RNAcentral